Molecule: non-coding RNA, 4085 nt
Organism: Lactuca sativa (garden lettuce)
Lineage: Eukaryota; Viridiplantae; Streptophyta; Magnoliopsida; Asterales; Asteraceae
Source: RefSeq, a predicted model, not a curated record
UGAACGGUGGGGAUUUUUUUUCUUCAUAAUUUUUUUCCUUUGUGAUCUCUUUCUAUGCUCUUUCCAGCUGCCUUGCAUUUAUGAUCCACUUUACAUGUGUUUUUCACUUAUGGUCCACCGCCUCUAAAAUCCUAUAGGAUACCCCCAUGUAUUUACAUCACCGCUUACUUUGAUCAGGCCGUCUCUAUUAUCACCUGUUGGUUUUUUUAGAUCCUUCCACCGCCUAAUAGACGACGCUUCUUCUCCACUUUUCUUCUUCAUCUCAAGCUUCAUAGAUUCGGGGUCGCCACCGCCGAAGCUUCGCACCUCCAUUCUUCUCCAAUCAUUUAUCGAGCGACCAUUGGUAUUAAUCCCACCUUUUCAUCACCUCUCUUUGAUUUCUUUGACUUGUGCGACCAUGGGAAAGAGGCGUACCUCGAACUUGCCUCAGUCGGCCUCCGCUGCACCGGAAUCAACCAUUGGUACCCUGUUCGACAUCAUCAAUUGAUUUCAGCCACAGAUAAAGCAGAUGCCCACAUCCGACCAAGGGAGAGAGGCGUACGAUGACAAUUAACAUAUUGUGAAGCAAAAUAUAAGAAAAAUAUCAAGUUUGAUAAUCCCAUCUAAUUCUUCAGUAUCGAUUGAGGUUUUAAAUUUGUAAAUUCUUCUAUUCCCUUUUUUCUUCAUAUUUUAUGAAAUUCCAUAAAAUCCUUAUGCCUUUAUGUAGCUUGAUGAACGAUUAACACAAUGCUCAUGUGAUUGAUUUUUGUACCUUUUCAGGUGUUGUUAAACCACUCAAAUAUGUUUAAGCUUUAUCAUGUAUGUGUAAAAUUGGCUUCAAACUUACAUGGAAACCUAAUUAUAAUGAAAUACAAUGUUCUACGUACUUUCAUAGGUCUGGAAUGUGUAUGGGGUUAUCAAUUUCUUACAAGCAUUGAUGGAGAAAUAUUCCAUCAUUCAGAUCCUACAUUAGGAAAAAGAAGAUCUUCAAUAGCUGACAGCUGCAUAUGGAUACGAUUAUGGUGGUGGAAGUAUUGUUUUAAAGGUGUUGGGUUACUUCAACAUUAUUGAAUUAUUAAGAGUUCAUUAUUUAUUGGGAGGCUAAAUACAGGAGGAAAACUAUUUGUCGAUGCUGUUGUUAGGUUGGUUGUUUUAAGGUUGAGAUGAAGAGUUGGAUAUGUACAGGUAUUAACUUUCGUGUAUAGCAUCUAAUUCCCUAUUGACAUAUCAUCUUUUUAGCAUGAAACCAUAUAUUAACCUAAUGUGCUUCCAGAAUUCGGCUUUGAUGUUGUGCAAUACGGGUAAUGUAAUAAUCUCUUCAUUUAUUUUUAUUAGUUUUCCUUCCGGGUAGAACAAAGUUUUUUUUUUUUAAUUAUAUUGUGACAUUUGUUAGUAUAAUAUUAAUAUAUGAAAGCCGAAUUCAAUAAAAAUGAAUAAAUAGUUAUGAUUUAGGAGUAAGUAUCUUGGGUUAUUGCAAAUUGGCAGCUAUGGAUACCUUUUCAAUUUCUCAACUUCUGUUUUGCCUCUCAAUAGUUUUAGGUUUGAGUGAAAACAUAAUCCAUUUUAGUGAAAAUUUUCAAGAUAUUAUGCAGACUGAAGGUUGGUCUAACCUCUGAAAGGGCAAUUUGGUCAAUGUCAUUUGUGUUGCUUGCUCCGAGCAAAACCAUUGAGGUACACAAUUUUUUUCUUUUUUUGGUUGAUCUUCAUUUGGGUUUGGUUGAUGUUUGAAUUGAAAGUGAUUAUAUGAUAUGGAAAGGAAUAAUCAGAACAAAAAGAAAUGAGAUAGACAAGGGUAGAAAUGUGAUUUUACUCUACCAUAUGAAUAUGAUAAUUGGUUUUGUUGCAGUUCCAGUUCGUAUUGAACUAAUUGAAACUGAUUCAUUGUAUGCUUACUAUGGAACUUCAUCUGACCUGGUGUUGUUUUAGAUUAUUUUGUACUUUUGCAUAUGACAAAUAUGGCCUAGGUCUUGCUGAACUGAUAUGUAAUUUUGUUCCAGGAUGAAGCUGGAACAGCAGCCCUAGAGACAGUUGAAGUUGAUGCAUUUUUACUUUGACUAUGAAGCUUCAAUUCUUAUUCCAUUCUAUUGAUUGUUACUUUUUUUUUCAAUUUCCUCAGGUUUCAAAGUUCAAUGGUGAACAAUAUUAUGAUGACGGAAGUCGAUACUGGAAAUUCUUGGCCUUUAGAAGUUUCUACACCUGCAAAAGAAGCAAGGAUGCAUCCGGAAACAAAUGUAGUAAGUUAAUACCGAAACUCCAUUAUUUUGACUUAUUGUACCACAUUCAAAAGUCAACUUUGUGUUGACCGAACUAAAGGGGUUCUAUUUUUAUUUUUUUUAUUUUGAAGGUGAUAGUAGACUUCUUAGUUGAUAUAUGGCUUGACGAGGGUUUAUAUGAUAGAUGAUUUGUUGGAAUUUAUCAUAUAAUGUUCAAAUUAGGAUCAGUUGUAAGUUAAUAGCAUAAAAAGUGCUUUUUAAAAGGUUAGGAAAAAUCGAGAAGUUGUAACCAAUAUUUGUCGUAUCCAACCCCGCAAAGCAGGGAUUCUUCCCUAGUUUAAAUUAAAAUUUUGAAAUAUUAAUAUUAAAUUAUGAUUUCCUAAAAUCUAGCUAUAAUUAAAGUAAUUACCUAAAAAGUGAAUUAAUCAUUUUUUUCGUUAAUAAAUAUAUUUUUUUAUCAGAUACUUUAAAAAAAAACAAGGCUUUUGAAUAUUCAUAUAUUUUUUUUUAUCUAACUAUUAAAAAAAACAACUUUUUUUCAAUUGAUUCAUACAAAAUCUCAUUUAGUGGUGAAUACACAAUAUAAAAUUACCAAUUUAUUGAAUUAGUUUUCUUUAAUCAUAUUUUAUAGAGUUAUAAUAAAAAUGAAUAUAAUAUAUUGUUGUUUAUAAAUACAAUUGUAAUCAUAAAUGAAUAAAACAAAAUAUGGAAAUCAAAAAAUCAAAUACAAUUGUAACUGUAAAAGAUUAAAACACUUCAAUUAUAUUCGGAAAACAACAAACAAUGUGAUGAAUAAAGUACUAACGUUAUUGUAGCACCCGGUUCCUGGUACGUAAAUGUUAUUUGAGUAUUUCCUUUCUUUUAGCCUUGGACUCGGCGAGUCAUAGGUCCGACUCGCCGAGUGGAUGCGGGACCCGGGACACGUUUAAGUUGGUGACUCGGCGAGUCCAUAUCCUGGACUCGGCGAGUCACAGCUGUUGGAUGAAACCCUAAGUUUCAGGGGUUUGCACCCUAUUUAAAGGACUUAUCAGCCCCAAGCCGGCCCCCAUUGACCCUUAAAGCCCUGUAUCUCUCGUUCUAAGCUAUUCUUUGAGAGUUUGAGGUUAGUGUGUGUGUUUUUGAAGGCUUUGAAAGAGGAAGGAAGUAGAUCCAGAAGAAGGGAAGCCAUCCAAGCGUUAUUUGUGUUCUUCCAGCAGUUCCUUUGAGCCGGAGGGUUUCCGGAGCAGCAGCAGCAGUAGUAGGUGAUCAAUUCCCACACAGACCAGCAGCUAUUUCGAGGUGAGUUUCCUUUCCAGUAGGAACGGGUCCAAGGCACCAAGGCCGACCCGUGUAGACGAGAUAUUAGUACUAGAGUGUGGGCCGAGCCCGUAUCUCUGGGUUUAGUCAAGUAUGAUAUAUGUGUUAAUAUGGUAGAAUUGCUAAUACUUGUUGUCUGCGUGAUAUUUGUAUGUUAUGAGUUGGCGGUUGAGUGUGGGCAGGGCCUGUAUCUCUCCGAGGUUGGAGUGUAGGCUAGGCCCGUAUCUCCCAGAUAGCGAAGUGUGGGCAGGGCCCGUAUCUUCACAAGUGUGGGCGAGGCCCGUAUCUCCCGGCUAGCGAAGUGUGGGCAGGGCCCGUAUCUUCCCGAGUGUGGGCAAGGCCCGUAACUCCUAGCUGAACAAUGGUUGUUAUAUGUUGCAUGGUACCUCCUCAGCUAGAGGAAAGGACCCGGCGCGGUAGCGGCACGUCACACACACUCUCCGGUUUCCGCAUUUACGAGCUUCACUGGGAUUUGUACUCUGAUAUUUUGAUCGAAUGUAUGAAUUGGCUUUUAGACAUGGUUCACUUGUGUGAUGACUUGAUCAGACAAUGUUUUAGCUUUUAAUAUUUUCUAAAAGUAAUGUUUUUAAAACGAAA